GAAUAUUGGACAAUGGGGGGAACCCUGAUCCAGCCAUGCCGCGUGUGUGAAGAAGGCCUUUUGGUUGUAAAGCACUUUAAGCGAGGAGGAGGAGCUCUUGGUUAAUACCCAAGAGUCUUGGACGUUACUCGCAGAAUAAGCACCGGCUAACUCGCUUCCAGCAGCCGCGGUAUACAGAGGGUGCAAGCUGUAAUCGGAUUUACUGGGCGUAAAGGGCGCGUAGGUGGCCAAUUAAGUUAAAUGUGAAAUCCCCGAACUUAACGUUGGAAUUGCAUUCGAUACUGUUUGGCUAGAGUAUGGGAGAGGAUGGUAGAAUUCCAGGUGUAGCGGUGAGAUGCGUAGAGAUCUGGAGGAAUACCGAUGGCGAAGGCAGCCAUCUGGCCUAAUACUGACACUGAGGUGCGAAAGCAUGGGGAACAAACA
RNAcentral lists this ribosomal RNA (423 nucleotides) under uncultured bacterium. RNAcentral describes it as "partial 16S ribosomal RNA". It matches the Rfam family "Bacterial small subunit ribosomal RNA", at positions 359 to 774 of the family's 1533-position model. The record is from RNAcentral.